RNAcentral lists this ribosomal RNA (943 nucleotides) under uncultured bacterium. RNAcentral describes it as "bacterial SSU rRNA". It matches the Rfam family "Bacterial small subunit ribosomal RNA", at positions 485 to 1421 of the family's 1533-position model. The record is from RNAcentral.
AGCAAGCACCGGCUAACUUCGUGCCAGAGCCGCGGUAAUACGAGGGGUGCAAGCGUUAUUCGGAAUCAUUGGGCGUAAAGGGUGCGUAGACGGCUCAUUAAGUCAACUGUUAAAUCCUCCGGCCUAACUGGAGUUCAGCGGUAGAAACUGAUAAGCUUGAGGUUGGAAGAGAGAAGUGGUAUUCUCGGAGUAGCGGUAAAAUGCGUAGAUCUCGAGAGGAACACCAAUGGCGAAGGCAGCUUCUUGGUCCAAAUCUGACGUUGAGGCACGAAAGCGCGGGGAGCAAACAGGAUUAGAUACCCUGGUAGUCCACGCCGUAAACGAUGAUCACUAGACGUUAACUCUGCUUGCAGGGUGAGUGUCGUAGCUAACGCGCUAAGUGAUCCGCCUGGGGAUUACGGUCGCAAGACUAAAACUCAAAGGAAUUGACGGGGGCCCGCACAAGCGGUGGAACAUGUGGUUUAAUUCGACAAUCCGCGAGGAACCUUACCUAGACUUGACAUGCUUUUGACAGCUGUAGAAAUACAGUCUUUUACAUUUCGGUGUAGACAAUUGCACAGGUGCUGCAUGGUUGUCGUCAGCUCGUGUCGUGAGAUGUUGGGUUAAGUCCUUUAACGAGCGCAACUCCUGCCGAUAGUUGCUACUUGAUUUAUCAAGGCACUCUAUCGGGACUGCCUGGGAAACCAGGAGGAAGGUGGGAAUGACGUCAAAUCAUCAUGGUCCUUAUGUCUAGGGCUACACACGUGUUACAAUGGUCGGUACAAAGGGUAGCGAGUCUGCGAAGAUGAGCGAAUCCCAAAAAGCCGAUCUAAGUUCGGAUUGCGGUCUGCAACUCGACCGCAUGAAGUUGAAAUCGCUAGUAAUCGCGCAUCAGCAACGGCGCGUGAAUACGUUCACGGGCCUUGUACACACCGCCCGUCACACCACGAAAGCUGUUUGUACC